AUUGAACGCUGGCGGCAGGCCUAACACAUGCAAGUCGAGCGGAAACGAGUUAUCUGAACCUUCGGGGAACGAUAACGGCGUCGAGCGGCGGACGGGUGAGUAAUGCCUAGGAAAUUGCCCUGAUGUGGGGGAUAACCAUUGGAAACGAUGGCUAAUACCGCAUGAUGCCUACGGGCCAAAGAGGGGGACCUUCGGGCCUCUCGCGUCAGGAUAUGCCUAGGUGGGAUUAGCUAGUUGGUGAGGUAAGGGCUCACCAAGGCGACGAUCCCUAGCUGGUCUGAGAGGAUGAUCAGCCACACUGGAACUGAGACACGGUCCAGACUCCUACGGGAGGCAGCAGUGGGGAAUAUUGCACAAUGGGCGCAAGCCUGAUGCAGCCAUGCCGCGUGUGUGAAGAAGGCCUUCGGGUUGUAAAGCACUUUCAGUCGUGAGGAAGGUAGUGUAGUUAAUAGCUGCAUUAUUUGACGUUAGCGACAGAAGAAGCACCGGCUAACUCCGUGCCAGCAGCCGCGGUAAUACGGAGGGUGCGAGCGUUAAUCGGAAUUACUGGGCGUAAAGCGCAUGCAGGUGGUUUGUUAAGUCAGAUGUGAAAGCCCGGGGCUCAACCUCGGAAUAGCAUUUGAAACUGGCAGACUAGAGUACUGUAGAGGGGGGUAGAAUUUCAGGUGUAGCGGUGAAAUGCGUAGAGAUCUGAAGGAAUACCGGUGGCGAAGGCGGCCCCCUGGACAGAUACUGACACUCAGAUGCGAAAGCGUGGGGAGCAAACAGGAUUAGAUACCCUGGUAGUCCACGCCGUAAACGAUGUCUACUUGGAGGUUGUGGCCUUGAGCCGUGGCUUUCGGAGCUAACGCGUUAAGUAGACCGCCUGGGGAGUACGGUCGCAAGAUUAAAACUCAAAUGAAUUGACGGGGGCCCGCACAAGCGGUGGAGCAUGUGGUUUAAUUCGAUGCAACGCGAAGAACCUUACCUACUCUUGACAUCCAGAGAACUUUCCAGAGAUGGAUUGGUGCCUUCGGGAACUCUGAGACAGGUGCUGCAUGGCUGUCGUCAGCUCGUGUUGUGAAAUGUUGGGUUAAGUCCCGCAACGAGCGCAACCCUUAUCCUUGUUUGCCAGCGAGUAAUGUCGGGAACUCCAGGGAGACUGCCGGUGAUAAACCGGAGGAAGGUGGGGACGACGUCAAGUCAUCAUGGCCCUUACGAGUAGGGCUACACACGUGCUACAAUGGCGCAUACAGAGGGCGGCCAACUUGCGAAAGUGAGCGAAUCCCAAAAAGUGCGUCGUAGUCCGGAUUGGAGUCUGCAACUCGACUCCAUGAAGUCGGAAUCGCUAGUAAUCGUGGAUCAGAAUGCCACGGUGAAUACGUUCCCGGGCCU
Molecule: ribosomal RNA, 1374 nt
Filed under: uncultured bacterium
Lineage: Bacteria
Description: bacterial SSU rRNA
Rfam family: Bacterial small subunit ribosomal RNA
Source: RNAcentral